GGAGUUAGCCGGUGCUUCUUCUGUGAGUGAUGUCCUUCCUGCCGGCUAUUAACCCGCAGGCCUUCUUCCUCACUGAAAGUGCUUUACAACCCGAAGGCCGUCUUCACACACGCGGCAUGGCUGGAUCAGGGUUGCCCCCAUUGUCCAAUAUUCCCCACUGCUGCCUCCCGUAGGAGUCUGGGCCGUGUCUCAGUCCCAGUGUGGCUGAUCAUCCUCUCAGACCAGCUACGGAUCGUCGCCUUGGUGAGCCGUUACCUCACCAACCAGCUAAUCCGACAUAGGCUCAUCCGAUAGCGCGAGGCCCGAAGGUCCCCCGCUUUCCCCCGUAGGGCGUAUGCGGUAUUAGCCUGGGUUUCCCCAGGUUAUCCCCCACUACCGGGCAGAUUCCUAUGCAUUACUCACCCGUCCGCCGCUCGCCACCAGGGAGCAAGCUCCCCGUGCUGCCGCUCGACUUGCAUGUGUUAGGCCUGCCGCCAGCGUUCAAUCUGAGCCAGAAUCAAACUCUGA
RNAcentral lists this ribosomal RNA (507 nucleotides) under uncultured bacterium. RNAcentral's name for it is "partial 16S ribosomal RNA". The record is from RNAcentral.